This 497-nucleotide ribosomal RNA is filed under the name uncultured bacterium. RNAcentral's name for it is "partial 16S ribosomal RNA". It matches the Rfam family "Bacterial small subunit ribosomal RNA", at positions 28 to 507 of the family's 1533-position model. The record is from RNAcentral.
GACGAACGCUGGCGGCGUGCCUAAUACAUGCAAGUUGAGCGCUGAAGGUUGGUACUUGUACCUACUGGAUGAGCAGCGAACGGGUGAGUAACGCGUGGGGAAUCUGCCUUUGAGCGGGGGACAACAUUUGGAAACGAAUGCUAAUACCGCAUAAAAACUUUAAACACAAGUUUUAAGUUUGAAAGAUGCAAUUGCAUCACUCAAAGAUGAUCCCGCGUUGUAUUAGCUAGUUGGUGAGGUAAAGGCUCACCAAGGCGAUGAUACAUAGCCGACCUGGGAGGGUGAUCGGCCACAUUGGGACUGAGACACGGCCCAAACGCCUACGGGAGGCAGCAGUAGGGAAUCUUCGGCCAUGGACGGAAGUCUGGCCGAGCGACGCCGCGUGAGUGGAGGAGGUUUUCGGAUCGUAAAACUCUGUUGGUAGAGAAGAACGUUGGUGAGAGUGGAAAGCUCAUCAAGUGACGGUAACUACCCAGAAAGGGACGGCUAACUACGUG